CCUACGACGGCCGUCAUUCGUGGCGAAGGAGAAAACAUCUUCCAUUCGGCCUGAACAGUGACGAAGUGGACGUUUUGUUUUUCGGCGGAAUGCAUCGUCAACAUGGUCCAUCUACUACGUAAACGAAACGGCGUGCCCAGAGUACACAUCGUGACAGCGCUCCGCCUUCAAACCGAGGGCCUUUUGCAAGGCGCAUGGACUGCUCAUAUAAAAGUUACAGUCAGCAUGAAGCAAUUGCAUGGGAACCGACUGGCUGUCUUGGGCCUACACAUUGCUGAAAAGACAGUGAAGAUGUCUGAGCCGACAGGCAGAAAAGAAGCAGAUGGCUACAGCGAUCAAUGAAGAAAUGGCUUCAUCUAUGAUGGCUCGCCUUAGGACAUUGGAAUGGAGCUACACAAAGGCAUCAUCAUCCUCGCCUGUGCCCUGGAACUUCGGUUUGAAUGAGACUGUUCUUCAACGUAGAACGGCCACAAGACUUGUCACCACAUACAAGGCAUAGUGCAAGCUCUAAAUAUUGUACAGGAGGCUAGAAUAAAUGACCCUCCAUGCAGUCA
Molecule: long non-coding RNA, 554 nt
Filed under: Dermacentor andersoni
Lineage: Eukaryota; Metazoa; Arthropoda; Arachnida; Ixodida; Ixodidae
Description: uncharacterized LOC126525926
Source: RNAcentral